GUGCUCACUUUGGCAACACAUAUACUAAAAUUGGAAUGAUACACAAGAUACAGAGAAGAUUGGCAUGGCACCUAUGUAAGGAUGCACAUUCGUAAAUAUUUAAUUUUUCUU
Octodon degus (degu) is the source of this 111-nucleotide small nuclear RNA. Lineage: Eukaryota; Metazoa; Chordata; Mammalia; Rodentia; Octodontidae. The record is from RefSeq and is a predicted model, not a curated record.